This 157-nucleotide ribosomal RNA is filed under the name Ceratobasidium sp. AG-D. Its description in RNAcentral is "5.8S rRNA". It matches the Rfam family "5.8S ribosomal RNA". From Rfam's summary of the family: 5.8S ribosomal RNA (5.8S rRNA) is a component of the large subunit of the eukaryotic ribosome. It is transcribed by RNA polymerase I as part of the 45S precursor that also contains 18S and 28S rRNA. Functionally, it is thought that 5.8S rRNA may be involved in ribosome translocation. The record is from RNAcentral. Lineage: Eukaryota; Fungi; Basidiomycota; Agaricomycetes; Cantharellales; Ceratobasidiaceae.
AAGUUUCAACAACGGAUCUCUUGGCUCUCGCAUCGCAUGAAGAACGCAGCGGAAAUGCGAUAAGUGAAUGUGAAUUGCAGAAUUCAGUGAAUCAUCGGAAUCUUUGAACGCACCUUGCGCUCCUUGGUAUUCCUCGGAGCACGCCUGUUUGAGUAUC